ACCAUUCGAUAGUUACAUCAUUUGAUUACAUUACAUUUUCAUCUUCCAAAAUAUAAAUAUAUGUUUUCCAAAAUACAUCAUGGCUCUCCAAUAUCUAUCCAAAAUAUACAUGGUAUCUAGUACACGAGGGUACUCUAAUGCAUAAUGGAAAGCUACUAACUAACUCACUUAGGGUGCUAUGCCCUUGCCGUGAUCCUCGCUCGGCUCGCCCCUGUGUGUACCU
RNAcentral lists this long non-coding RNA (223 nucleotides) under Ananas comosus (pineapple). Its description in RNAcentral is "long non-coding RNA (ACOM_LNC037513)". The record is from RNAcentral. Lineage: Eukaryota; Viridiplantae; Streptophyta; Magnoliopsida; Poales; Bromeliaceae.